This 600-nucleotide ribosomal RNA is filed under the name uncultured bacterium. Its description in RNAcentral is "bacterial SSU rRNA". It matches the Rfam family "Bacterial small subunit ribosomal RNA", at positions 728 to 1332 of the family's 1533-position model. The record is from RNAcentral.
GCUGGGCUUUAACUGACGCUGAGGCACGAAAGCGUGGGUAGCAAACAGGAUUAGAUACCCUGGUAGUCCACGCUGUAAACGAUGAUUACUAGGUGUGGGGGGUCUGACCCCUUCCGUGCCGCAGUUAACACAAUAAGUAAUCCACCUGGGGAGUACGACCGCAAGGUUGAAACUCAAAGGAAUUGACGGGGGCCCGCACAAGCAGUGGAGUAUGUGGUUUAAUUCGAAGCAACGCGAAGAACCUUACCAGGUCUUGACAUCCUAGGAAUCCUUUAGAGAUAAGGGAGUGCCUUUCGGGGAAUCUAGAGACAGGUGGUGCAUGGUUGUCGUCAGCUCGUGUCGUGAGAUGUUGGGUUAAGUCCCGCAACGAGCGCAACCCUUACUGUUAGUUGCUACGCAAGAGCACUCUAGCAGGACUGCCGUUGACAAAACGGAGGAAGGUGGGGAUGACGUCAAAUCAUCAUGCCCCUUAUGACCUGGGCUACACACGUACUACAAUGGCCGUCAACAGAGGGCAGCAAAAUGGUGACAUGGAGCAAAUCCCUAAAAACGGUCUCAGUUCAGACUGCAGGCUGCAACUCGCCUGCACGAAGGUGGAAU